UACGUAGGGUGCGAGCGUUGUCCGGAAUUAUUGGGCGUAAAGAGCUUGUAGGCGGUUUGUCGCGUCCGCUGUGAAAAUCCGAGGCUCAACCUCGGACUUGCAGUGGGUACGGGCAGACUAGAGUGUGGUAGGGGAGACUGGAAUUCCUGGUGUAGCGGUGGAAUGCGCAGAUAUCAGGAGGAACACCGAUGGCGAAGGCAGGUCUCUGGGCCAUUACUGACACUGAGAAGCGAAAGCAUGGGGAGCGAACAGG
Molecule: ribosomal RNA, 253 nt
Filed under: uncultured bacterium
Lineage: Bacteria
Description: partial 16S ribosomal RNA
Rfam family: Bacterial small subunit ribosomal RNA
Source: RNAcentral